RNAcentral lists this ribosomal RNA (706 nucleotides) under beta proteobacterium IMCC15222. RNAcentral's name for it is "bacterial SSU rRNA". It matches the Rfam family "Bacterial small subunit ribosomal RNA", at positions 46 to 743 of the family's 1533-position model. Lineage: Bacteria; Pseudomonadati; Pseudomonadota; Betaproteobacteria. The record is from RNAcentral.
GCUUUACACAUGCAAGUCGAACGGGCAGCAUAGAGAGCUUGCUCUCUGAUGGCGAGUGGCGAACGGGUGAGUAAUAUAUCGGAACGUGCCCAGUAAUGGGGAAUAACUAGCCGAAAGGUUAGCUAAUACCGCAUACGACCUACGGGUGAAAGCAGGGGAUCUUAGGACCUUGCGUUAUUGGAGCGGCCGAUAUCUGAUUAGCUUGUUGGUGGGGUAAAAGCCUACCAAGGCAACGAUCAGUAGCUGGUCUGAGAGGACGAUCAGCCACACUGGAACUGAGACACGGUCCAGACUCCUACGGGAGGCAGCAGUGGGGAAUUUUGGACAAUGGGGGAAACCCUGAUCCAGCCAUCCCGCGUGAGUGAAGAAGGCCUUCGGGUUGUAAAGCUCUUUCGAAAGUGAAGAAAACUUAUUUCAUAAUAUGUUAUGAGUAUGACGGUAACUUUAGAAGAAGCACCGGCUAACUACGUGCCAGCAGCCGCGGUAAUACGUAGGGUGCGAGCGUUAAUCGGAAUUACUGGGCGUAAAGCGUGCGCAGGCGGUUUUGUAAGUCAGAUGUGAAAUCCCCGAGCUUAACUUGGGAACUGCGUUUGAAACUACAAGACUAGAGUGUGUCAGAGGGGGGUAGAAUUCCACGUGUAGCAGUGAAAUGCGUAGAGAUGUGGAGGAAUACCAAUGGCGAAGGCAGCCCCUGGGAUAACACUGA